This is a long non-coding RNA of Dipodomys ordii (Ord's kangaroo rat), 360 nucleotides long. RefSeq lists it as uncharacterized. NCBI's taxonomy places the organism in Eukaryota, Metazoa, Chordata, Mammalia, Rodentia, Heteromyidae. The record is from RefSeq and is a predicted model, not a curated record. The transcript is spliced from 3 exons.
UGUGCCUCAGUUUCCAUCCCUGGAUAUAAGGUGGGGGACAGAGCUGCGUGCCACAAGGCUGAGCCUCUCAGAGGUCACCGCUGCAUUCCUCCUUCACUUGCCAGGCACUGUGUGUGAUUCAGACAGAAGACCCCAAGCAGCCAGAAAUUACCCAGAUGGAGAAACAGAGGCCCGUAGAGGCCGACGGUGUGCCCCGGAGCUCACAGCCUGCAGAGGACACAGCUGUCGUGUGAGACGGGCAGAGGCUGGAGAGGUGCGGCGGUGAGGGGAGCGGGGCCCCCACCGACCCCGCGGCCCCGCGGCCCGGGCCUGGCGCAGCAUGAAGCUGGACGAGCGCAGCCUGGCCCGCUACGCCACCUG